ACAGCGCCACUGUAUGAGGAACAGAGACACAAAGAAACGACACGCAUUCAACAAAACUCUUCAUACAGGACACAAGAACGUCACAGUUCAUGGAGUUCUUCAGUUCUUCAGGAGUCAUGAGGUUUGUUCUAGCCUUUGCCCUCGCUCUUCACUCAGUGCCACUGAGAUGUACAGCAGAUCCAGCUCCAGUGUGUCAGCCACACUCUACAUGCUCUGAGUGUUUGAAGAGUCCAGGAUGUGCGUGGUGCAAGCAGCUGGUAAGUUUCCUGAUUAUAACAACGAUUCUUAUUACAAUAUAAUUCUCAAGUUGUAUUUCACACAGCACUAUCACAGUGUUUAAGGGUUUACUUAUCUAACAAACCCGUGUACGGGGCGUGGCCACGUUUGAUCAUCAGUAGAUCAUGUGACCAUGAAAUCUCCAGCCUGUACCUGAGAUAAGAACUCUGUAACGUCCCUAAAACCUGCA
Ictalurus punctatus (channel catfish) is the source of this 466-nucleotide long non-coding RNA. NCBI's taxonomy places the organism in Eukaryota, Metazoa, Chordata, Actinopteri, Siluriformes, Ictaluridae. The record is from Ensembl.